GGGCGCUUGGUCUAGGGGUAUGAUUUUCGCUUCGCACAAUCUGUAUGAGGUUGAGAGCUUGUGAAAGGUCGUGGGUUCAAUUCCCACAGUGUCCA
This is a transfer RNA of Cyphellophora europaea CBS 101466, 95 nucleotides long. It matches the Rfam family "tRNA". Rfam says of the family: Transfer RNA (tRNA) molecules are approximately 80 nucleotides in length. Their secondary structure includes four short double-helical elements and three loops (D, anti-codon, and T loops). The record is from Rfam. NCBI's taxonomy places the organism in Eukaryota, Fungi, Ascomycota, Eurotiomycetes, Chaetothyriales, Cyphellophoraceae.